GCCAUUUGACUGCACCAGAUGGCUGUGUGCGAGUGUGUUUCUUUUGACAAUGUCAAUGAAGCACCGGACUACAGCCAUAUAGUUUUGAACCUAGAAGAAGACAGAGAGACGGGAGUAGGCAAGAAGGAGUAGGCUGAAAUUGGUAUGAAAAAUGUUGUGUUGGUCAGAAAAGCAUGGUGCUACAGAGACAGAAGAUUCCAAGAACCUCCAGAGCCUUUAGACCAACUACCUGCGAUCUCUCCAGAGAACAGAGAAGUGAGUCUGCUGGGCUAUGGAACUCUAGAGCAGCACAUAAAAAACCUGCCACCCUGUUGUCAGCUAUCCGCAGACCGUUCACUGAGGAAGGAUGGAUCUAUCAAGGCUUUCAAUUGCCACAUUUUGGG
This is a long non-coding RNA of Coregonus clupeaformis (lake whitefish), 383 nucleotides long. RefSeq lists it as uncharacterized. Lineage: Eukaryota; Metazoa; Chordata; Actinopteri; Salmoniformes; Salmonidae. The record is from RefSeq and is a predicted model, not a curated record. The transcript is spliced from 3 exons.